UACGUAGGGUCCAAGCGUUAUCCGGAAUCACUGGGCGUAAAGCGUGCGUAGGUGGCGCGUUAAGUGAGAUGUUAAAUCGUGUGGCUCAACCAUAUCGAUGCAUCUCAUACUGGCGUGCUAGAGGACGGCAGAGGCAAGUGGAAUUUGUAGUGUAGCAGUGAAAUGCGUAGAUAUUACAAGGAACACCAAUGGCGAAGGCAGCUUGCUGGGCUACGACUGACACUGAGGUACGAAAGCGUGGGGAGCGAACAGG
RNAcentral lists this ribosomal RNA (253 nucleotides) under uncultured bacterium. Its description in RNAcentral is "partial 16S ribosomal RNA". It matches the Rfam family "Bacterial small subunit ribosomal RNA", at positions 524 to 776 of the family's 1533-position model. The record is from RNAcentral.